Molecule: ribosomal RNA, 497 nt
Filed under: uncultured bacterium
Lineage: Bacteria
Description: partial 16S ribosomal RNA
Rfam family: Bacterial small subunit ribosomal RNA
Source: RNAcentral
GAUGAACGCUGGCGGCGUGCCUAAUACAUGCAAGUCGAGCGAACAGACGAGGAGCUUGCUCCUCUGACGUUAGCGGCGGACGGGUGAGUAAAACGUGGAUAACCUACCUAUAAGACUGGGAUAACUUCGGGAAACCGGAGCUAAUACCGGAUAAUAUAUUAAACCGCAUGGUUCAAUAGUGAAAGACGGUUUUGCUGUCACUUAUAGAUGGAUCCGCGCCGCAUUAGCUAGUUGGUAAGGUAACGGCUUACCAAGGCGACGAUGCGUAGCCGACCUGAGAGGGUGAUCGGCCACACUGGAACUGAGACACGGUCCAGACUCCUACGGGAGGCAGCAGUAGGGAAUCUUCCGCAAUGGGCGAAAGCCUGACGGAGCAACGCCGCGUGAGUGAUGAAGGUCUUCGGAUCGUAAAACUCUGUUAUUAGGGAAGAACAAAUGUGUAAGUAACUAUGCACGUCUUGACGGUACCUAAUCAGAAAGCCACGGCUAACUACGUG